CAAUAGCGUAUAUUAAAGUUGUUGCGGUUAAAAAGCUCGUAGUUGGAUUUCUGCUGAGAACGACCGGUCCGCCCUCUGGGUGUGUAUCUGGCUCUUUCUUGGCAUCUUCUUGGUGAACGUUGCUGCACUUGACUGUGUGGAGCGCUACCCAGGACUUUUACUUUGAGGAAAUUAGAGUGUUUCAAGCAGGCAUACGCCUUGAAUACAUUAGCAUGGAAUAAUAAGAUAGGACCUCGGUUCUAUUUUGUUGGUUUCUAGAGCUGAGGUAAUGAUUAAUAGGGAUAGUUGGGGGCAUUCGUAUUUAACUGUCAGAGGUGAAAUUCUUAGAUUCGUUGAGGACCAACCACUGCGAAAGCAUUUGUCAAGGAUGUCUNCAUUA
Molecule: ribosomal RNA, 379 nt
Filed under: uncultured eukaryote
Lineage: Eukaryota
Description: partial 18S ribosomal RNA
Rfam family: Eukaryotic small subunit ribosomal RNA
Source: RNAcentral